Molecule: long non-coding RNA, 1678 nt
Organism: Pipra filicauda (Wire-tailed manakin)
Lineage: Eukaryota; Metazoa; Chordata; Aves; Passeriformes; Pipridae
Exons: 5
Source: RefSeq, a predicted model, not a curated record
UCCCUGUCUGGUUUCUAAAAUCUGGGAUUAGUCCAGCCAGGGAAGCUUAAACAGGGGUAUAUGGGGUGUUCAUUGUGCUAUCUCUGACCAAGAAAAGCUGCUCCCAUCUCCUUGCUGGGGAUGAGGGACUGACAGGUAACACGAGGCAUGGCUUGUGCUCUUGCAAAUAGCUUUGCUUUCCAAGACCAUGCUCAGCACUCGGGUGCAUUGCAGGCUGGCACAAGCAUACCCGAGCAGCAGAAAAGAGCAGGCGGGUCAGGCUGACUGCACUUGCCAGGAAACAGAUGUGGAGUGAAAGGUGAAGCCUGACAGAAAGCUUAGGUGUGAGGUCGUGAGAGGAUCAGGCUGUCUGUGCUGCCUCAUGAACUGAGGUCUUAACACAGAGACCCGGUAUCAGGUACCACAAAGUCAGGGGCUGAGCAACAUACCCAGUAUGGUUGACAGGCCACGUGGCAGCCUGUGGGACAGUGUCUGUAAUGCUGGACUGCUACACCCCAGGUGCAGCUUAAGGGCUGUACAGAACUAGGUUACCACAGGUAUUAAAUCCUGAGUGCACCAAACAAAUAACUGCAGUUAGGCAGAUGAACAAAAAAGCUUAGUGAACAGUCUUUUGUGCUUACAAGCUUUCUGCUCAUGCAAUGCCUUGGAGUGUGUCUGCUACUGCUCCUUCCCAGCAUCCUGCUAACCAUGCUGACCCAGGAGAGAGCUGGAGCUGGGACUGAUGUGGCAUUUGAGGACCUGGUGGAAGCAUCACAGCAAGGGAAAUCGGACCUCGAGACCUCCUGAGAAGCAGCUGUGAGGCUUUGUGUUAUAACAUGGAGAUUUAGUUGGGUACGAGGAAAAACGUCUGCAGUGGAACAGCUGCCCAGGGAAGUGGUGGAGCCACCAUGCCUGCAGGUAACCUUCACAAAAGAUCUUGUGUGUAAACUUAGAGCCCACAGAACCUGGUUUUCCUCAAGCCACUGAAGAGAGACCGUGCUUUCCUACUGUGCCAGACGUCACCUGUGGCCAGCUGAGGGGGACUGUCACACGAUCCUUAACACUCCAUGACUUCCCUGGAGAUGGCUUUGGACAAGGCACUUGACACAGAGAACCAUCUGCCAAGUACUUGGAUUAAACAGACUGGAGCAGAACCGUGUCCCAGGUCCAUCUGGGACAGGUUAGCAUGAGGAAGAGGCUGCUGGAGGUGUUUUACCACCGACCCCCGCGGAGGUAGCAAGUGCUGCAGCCAGGGCAGCUGCUGCCGCUGCAUCCCUGGGUGUGAAGUCUGUGGGGAGGCUUUCCAUGAGGCACUUGAGCUGCUCCUGGCCCAGUUUGAUUUUAUCGUCCAGCUCCCGCUGCUCGAUGAGGAGUGCAGACUUCAUCUUCACAAAGUGCUGGUAAUCCUGGAGCUGCUCCUCAGAGAGGUAGUUGCCCAGGAUCUCCAAGACCACCCGUUCCCGACGGUCAAGGUUUUCCUUGAGUUCCCGGGCGUCUUCGUGCUGGCCAGCCAGCAGCUUCCUCUUCUCGUUCAGCGAGCUCUGCACACACCAGAGAGAGCCCUUCAGCACCAGCAGCACCAAAAUCCCUGCUCCCCCCCUCCUUCCUCCCAGCACCACCUCCACGGCUGGCUGCCAUGCUCCCAGACACGCAGUCAAAAGCCUGGAGAGGAGGAUGAAUCCUUCAUUAUGGAUUGAAU